Molecule: ribosomal RNA, 277 nt
Filed under: uncultured bacterium
Lineage: Bacteria
Description: partial 16S ribosomal RNA
Rfam family: Bacterial small subunit ribosomal RNA
Source: RNAcentral
ACAAGAACCUACCUUUAGGAAGGGGAUAACAAUUGGAAACGAUUGCUAAUACCCUAUAUGCUUCCGAGUGAAAUAGUUUUUUGCCUAAAGAGGGGCUUGUGCCUGAUUAGCUAGUUGGUUAGGUAAUGGCUAACCAAGGCGACGAUCAGUAGCUGGCUUGAGAGGGCGACCAGCCACACUGGGACUGAGACACGGCCCAGACUCCUACGGGAGGCAGCAGUGAGGAAUUUUCCGCAAUGAGCGAAAGCUUGACGGAGCAAUACCGCGUGGAGGACGA